Molecule: non-coding RNA, 28 nt
Filed under: Mus musculus (house mouse)
Lineage: Eukaryota; Metazoa; Chordata; Mammalia; Rodentia; Muridae
Source: RNAcentral
UUCCUACUAUUAAGAGCUAGGCUCACAU